This 1058-nucleotide long non-coding RNA is filed under the name Felis catus (domestic cat). Its description in RNAcentral is "lncRNA (ENSFCAG00000051034.1)". Lineage: Eukaryota; Metazoa; Chordata; Mammalia; Carnivora; Felidae. The record is from RNAcentral.
GCUGCCCCCGGCACCCGCUCCCAGCGCGAGGGCGGGCCGAGCAGCGGCGUUGGACUGAGCUGAAGGGUCGACGGGCGGGCGGCUAAUCCCGCGUCGCGGGCAGGGGAGCGGGGCUCGAAGCCGCGGGAGAGCCGCUGCUCCAGCGCCCCCACCCGCGCUCCUCGCCUCUCACGCUCCGCGCCGCCGCCACACGCCGCCUCACAGUCCCCGGGCCCGCCACCGCCUCCUCACGCUUCCAUCACCGCCCACCUCCGCCGGCCUCGAGCUCCCGCUCGGCAGAGCAGCGCCGGCCCGGGCGGCCUGAAGCCCGCCGCUGCCUCCGCCUCCACCGGCCGCUCGCGGAGCUGAAGGCGCUGCUUCCCGGGUCAGCGCCGCCCGCUGGCGGGCGGCGGGCGGACCGUGCGCUCUGCUCCUCCGCUGUCUCCUGGCCCUGCUCCCGGCCGCCACAGCCUCCUCCGCGCCCCACACCAGGUGCUCGCGCUGUGUCUCCAUCCUCCCCGCAGGAGGACCUUUAAAUAGCAACGUCAGCGCGCUCCUCUCCGCACACACGUCACCCGCCGCUCUCGUCACCCGGGUGCGGGGGAUGAUGUCACGCGGCCGGAAGUACUGCUAAAUUAGGGAAGGAGCAGGGGGAGGAGGACUCGGUGAGCAGCUCUGUGCCCACCUGCUCUCGCUUCUCCUUAAAGGCCAAAGCACAGGAGACAGCCCUAGAGGAGCUCCGAGAAGGAAGCGGCGGGAGAUUUCCUUGCAACAAAUGUGCCAAACACAAGUGAAUCAUUCGUAGCAAUAGUGCCGAAGUGUCAAGCGGGUGAUAUCCUAUCUCCCACUCCCACCUUUCGCAGCAUCCCCAAGCUUCUCAAGUUUCAACUAGCACGGAAAUGUGGGAGGAGAGCCUGAUCACUGGUGGUAGAUGUAUUUCCAACAAGACUUGGGAAAAAGCAUCUUAAUUUUUGAAAGAGUUAUUAAAUGCCAUUCUGAACAUAGUAGACUUUAAAACUUUUUCCCCCCAAUUAGUGGUUACCCACAUCACGAAAGAAUAAAGAGCAGAACUAUGAACA